Molecule: long non-coding RNA, 428 nt
Organism: Parus major (Great Tit)
Lineage: Eukaryota; Metazoa; Chordata; Aves; Passeriformes; Paridae
Exons: 2
Source: RefSeq, a predicted model, not a curated record
UCUUGGAAGAUCAAAUCUAAAUGAAAUGAUGGAAUACCAAGAAAGGGUCUCUACACAAGAAAUGAAUGACUUUGGAGUAGAGAGCAGCGAGAACAGGAUCCAACCCAGCAGCCCAAAAGGCAAAGCCAUGUCUACUGAAGGAAUGGUAAUACAUGAAUGGUUUGCUGAUGGCACUUUGGACUGAUGUGGUCUGAAGUUCUCUGCAGGCUUAAGUGACUUUCCCUCCUCUUCCUGAAAUAAGAGCAGCAAAGUCCCUCAGAAGAUCCUCAUUACAGAGGAUUUAUUCAAGAUUUUGCAUUUCCAUCUGCAGUCUGAACCUCUUCAGUGGUUCACUGCCUCGUGUGGUGUGUGAGGUACUUCAGAAGUAAGGUACUAAAUCAAAUAAACCAUUUUAUAGCUGUGUUGCAGAGUUAAAUGGGAGCGGCUUG